RNAcentral lists this ribosomal RNA (459 nucleotides) under uncultured bacterium. RNAcentral's name for it is "partial 16S ribosomal RNA". It matches the Rfam family "Bacterial small subunit ribosomal RNA", at positions 341 to 792 of the family's 1533-position model. The record is from RNAcentral.
ACGGGAGGCAGCAGUGGGGAAUUUUUCACAAUGGGCGAAAGCCUGAUGGAGCAAUCCUGCGUGGAUGAUGAAGGCCCUCUGGGUCGUAAAAUCCUUUUAUAAGGGACGAAUGGCUAGACUAGGAAAUGAGUUUAGUUUGACUGUACCUUUUGAAUAAGUAACGGCUAACUAUGUGCCAGCAGCCGCGGUAAUACAUAGGUUACAAGCGUUAUCCGGAUUUACUGGGCGUAAAGCGAGCGCAGAUGGACCAACAAGUCUGGUGUUAAAGACUAAGGCUUAACCUUAGCAUGCAUUGGAAACUGUAGGUCUAGAGUUUGAUAGGAAGUUUUAGAACUCCAUGUGGAGCGGUGGAAUGCGCAGAUAUAUGGAAGAAUACCGGUGGUGAAAACGAAAACUUAGGUCACAACUGACAUUUAGGCUCGAAAGUGUGGGGAGCAAAUAGGAUUAGAUACCCUGGUA